Molecule: ribosomal RNA, 386 nt
Filed under: uncultured bacterium
Lineage: Bacteria
Description: bacterial SSU rRNA
Rfam family: Bacterial small subunit ribosomal RNA
Source: RNAcentral
GACGAACGCUGGCGGCGUGCUUAACACAUGCAAGUCACGGGGGCCCGCAAGGGCAACCGGCGAACGGGUGCGUAACACGUGACCAACCUGCCCCUGUGUGGGGGAUAGCCAUGCUAACGCGUGGGUAAUACCGCAUACGGUUCUUGAGAGGAGUCUCUUGGGAAAGAAAGCUCUGGCGCACGGGGAGGGGGUCGCGGCCUAUCAGCUAGUUGGUGCGGUAACGGCGCACCAAGGCGACGACGGGUAGCUGGUCUGAGAGGAUGGCCAGCCACAUUGGGACUGAGAGACGGCCCAGACUCCUACGGGAGGCAGCAGUGGGGAAUCUUGCGCAAUGGCCGAAAGGCUGACGCAGCGACGCCGCGUGUGGGAGGACGCCUUUCGGGUGU